CGCAGCGAUCUGCAGGAGGCCAACGACUGUGAACUGCGUGGACCUGAGCUGGCAUUUGGCCAGGACAAUGGGAUUAACUUCCCAAGCGCUGGCCAAAAAGGGCCCUGGGAUUUUUAUUUUUAUUCGUUUUCCAUUACAACUGCACAGCAACGCAAACAAAGCCCCAAACAAGGAGGAAGAUUUGACUGUCAGGAGGAGCUGGUGACCUCAUUCUGUCAUUCUGUUCUUGGGGCCACUGAAGGGAGGAAGCUGGCUCUGCCGGGAGCAGGACUCCCUCGAGUGACUGGGUGCAGACUGGAGAGAGGGAGAGCCAGGCAGUGGUGACAAAGCUGCCCUGUGGCAAGUACUGUGGAGAGAUGACUGCCUAAUAAACCUGUAAAGGCAAGUUCA
This 390-nucleotide long non-coding RNA is filed under the name Mus spicilegus (steppe mouse). RNAcentral's name for it is "lncRNA (ENSMSIG00000013455.1)". Lineage: Eukaryota; Metazoa; Chordata; Mammalia; Rodentia; Muridae. The record is from RNAcentral.